AUUCCGGUUGAUCCUGCCGGAGGCCAUUGCUAUCGGAGUUCGAUUUAGCCAUGCUAGUCGCACGAGUUCACACUCGUGGCGGAUAGCUCAGUAACACGUGGCCAAACUGCCCUAUGGAUCGGGAUAACCUCGGGAAACUGAGGCUAAUCCCGAAUACGGCUCUCUCACUGGAGUGUAGAGAGCUCGAAACGCUCAGGCGCCAUAGGAUGUGGCUGCGGCCGAUUAGGUAGACGGUGGGGUAACGGCCCACCGUGCCGAUAAUCGGUACGGGUUGUGAGAGCAAGAGCCCGGAGAUGGAUUCUGAGACAAGAAUCCAGGCCCUACGGGGCGCAGCAGGCGCGAAAACUUUACACUGCACGACAGUGCGAUAAGGGAACUCCGAGUGCGAGGGCAUAUCGUCCUCGCUUUUCUGAACCGUAAGGUGGUUCAGGAACAAGGGCUGGGCAAGACCGGUGCCAGCCGCCGCGGUAAUACCGGCAGCCCGAGUGAUGGCCGCUAUUAUUGGGCCUAAAGCGUCCGUAGCC
Molecule: ribosomal RNA, 524 nt
Filed under: halophilic archaeon
Lineage: Archaea; Methanobacteriati; Methanobacteriota; Halobacteria; Halobacteriales
Description: Archaeal small subunit ribosomal RNA
Rfam family: Archaeal small subunit ribosomal RNA
Source: Rfam by way of RNAcentral